This 402-nucleotide ribosomal RNA is filed under the name bacterium. RNAcentral's name for it is "partial 16S ribosomal RNA". It matches the Rfam family "Bacterial small subunit ribosomal RNA", at positions 355 to 776 of the family's 1533-position model. The record is from RNAcentral.
UGGGGAAUUUUGCACAAUGGGGGAAACCCUGAUGCAGCGACGCCGCGUGAUUUAGAAGGCCUUCGGGUUGUAAAAAUCUUUUUUACGGGAUGAAAAUGACAGUACCGUAAGAAUAAGGUCCGGCUAAAUACGUGCCAGCAGCCGCGGUAAUACGUAUGGACCGAGCGUUGUCCGGAAUCAUUGGGCGUAAAGGGUACGUAGGCGGCCUAGUAAGUUAGAAGUGAAAUAAUAUAGCUCAACUAUAUAAAGCUUUUAAAACUGCUAGGCUUGAGAGAUGGAAGGGAAAGUGGAAUUCCUAGUGUAGCGGUGAAAUGCGCAGAUAUUAGGAAUAAUACCGGUGGCGAAGGCGACUUUCUGGUCAUCAUCUGACGCUGAGGUACGAAAGCGUGGGUAGCAAACAGG